UAUGUUCAUAUCACCUUGAUAAACCGGUCCCCGUACGAUCAAUGACAUUAAGCAAGGUCGAGCCUGGUCAGUAGCUAAAUGGGUGACCGCUUGGGAAUACCAGGUGCCGUAAG
Molecule: non-coding RNA, 113 nt
Organism: Acanthosepion pharaonis
Lineage: Eukaryota; Metazoa; Mollusca; Cephalopoda; Sepiida; Sepiidae
Source: the annotation of a GenBank genome assembly